This 710-nucleotide ribosomal RNA is filed under the name uncultured bacterium. RNAcentral's name for it is "bacterial SSU rRNA". It matches the Rfam family "Bacterial small subunit ribosomal RNA", at positions 39 to 740 of the family's 1533-position model. The record is from RNAcentral.
GCGGAAUGCUUUACACAUGCAAGUCGAACGGCAGCACGGAGAGCUUGCUCUCUGGUGGCGAGUGGCGAACGGGUGAGUAAUAUAUCGGAACGUGUCCAAUAAUGGGGGAUAACGAGUCGAAAGAUUCGCUAAUACCGCAUACGCCCUACGGGGGAAAGCAGGGGAUCGUAAGACCUUGCGUUAAUGGAGCGGCCGAUAUCUGAUUAGCUUGUUGGUGAGGUAAAGGCUCACCAAGGCGACGAUCAGUAGCUGGUUUGAGAGAACGACCAGCCACACUGGAACUGAGACACGGUCCAGACUCCUACGGGAGGCAGCAGUGGGGAAUUUUGGACAAUGGGGGCAACCCUGAUCCAGCCAUUCCGCGUGAGUGAAGAAGGCCUUCGGGUUGUAAAGCUCUUUCGCAAGGGAAGAAAACUUAUGAUCGAAUAAAUCAUGAGGUUGACGGUACCUUGAUAAGAAGCACCGGCUAACUACGUGCCAGCAGCCGCGGUAAUACGUAGGGUGCGAGCGUUAAUCGGAAUUACUGGGCGUAAAGCGUGCGCAGGCGGUUUUGUAAGUCGGAUGUGAAAUCCCCGGGCUCAACCUGGGAACUGCGUUCGAAACUGCAAGGCUAGAGUGUGUCAGAGGGGGGUAGAAUUCCACGUGUAGCAGUGAAAUGCGUAGAGAUGUGGAGGAAUACCAAUGGCGAAGGCAGCCCCCUGGGAUAACAC